RNAcentral lists this unclassified non-coding RNA (194 nucleotides) under uncultured Hyaloriaceae. RNAcentral's name for it is "sequence contains ITS2". The record is from RNAcentral. Lineage: Eukaryota; Fungi; Basidiomycota; Agaricomycetes; Auriculariales; Hyaloriaceae.
GAAUCCAUCACCUCCCUUCGGGGUUGCGUGGACUUGGGCGCUGCCGGCCGCUUGCGGUGGGCUCGUCUCAAAAUGCAUUAGCCUGCAGAGUGUUUGCUGGGCCUUUGGCGUGAUAGUACAUUUCGCCGCUGUGCUCUGGUGACGUCUGGCUCUGGGCUCACAAUGACGAGCGUCCCGCUCGAUUUAUUUUUACG